This is a non-coding RNA of Prunus mume (Japanese apricot), 1021 nucleotides long. NCBI's taxonomy places the organism in Eukaryota, Viridiplantae, Streptophyta, Magnoliopsida, Rosales, Rosaceae. The record is from RefSeq and is a predicted model, not a curated record.
GAUAAAUUAGAAAGAAGGAGAGAGAGUAGUGAUGAAACUCUUGGAGUUUGGUUUGGGUGAUAGUACAUAAAGAUAGGUAGAUGGGUUGUCUUGCCAAUUUAUUUUAAGGACUCUCAUUAUCGAGAUGCGUCUCAUGAAUGCUUUGAAAUGAAAUUAAUGGUACCUUCGUCCAUUCCUCCCUCCCUUGGGCUUUUAUUAGCUCUUGGAUGGCUUGUAUUGCUUGGUACGUAGUUUUUCCUGAAUUUGUGAGGCUGCUUUUGUUUGCUUUGCGUGUCUUCAUUUUGCAGAUUUGGAAGUUCCUGCUUUUUGUUUUCUACUUGGUGACGACAAGGUGGGAGAGCAACUUAUGUAUUUCCUUUUGUGUGUAUCAACUCUUUUUAACUUGAUAUAUCUCCAACAAGCCUUGAAAUCUUAGCAUGCCAUCGGAUUCUAAGCAAAAGUUAUGGUGGCCAACCGAAAAUGGAAGGAAAACAAAGGUGGUGAAGACACACGGAUGAAACGAAGGAUGUAAGGGAAGCCCAUCUGGUAGUGGCUGCCCUCAUAGCAACUGUAACAUUCGCAGCAGGUUUCACCAUUCCUGGGGGUUACCUAAGUGAGAAGGGUUUUGCAGUUUUAUCAAGAAAUGCGGCUUUCAAUGCCUUUGUAUCCGAUACACUAGCCUUGUGUAUGUCCAGUUUCUCUGUCUUAAUGCGCCUUUACGUAUCGAUGCACACAAAGCGAUGUGAAAAGGAAUUUCCACAGCAUUUGACGUGGUGUUGUAUAUCACCAUGUCAGCUUUAAUUGCAAUGGUGGUUGCAUUCAUUGCAGGGGCAUAUGCAGUAUUAGGUCAUUCUCUAAUACUUGCCUUAGAAGUGGCUUCUGUGCUUGGUUGUAGUUUCUUCUUUAUCUUAACUCAUACUGCACUUUCUGAAGUUUCCCCUUCCUAUCAAAGGCUUCAACAAUUCCUAGAACAGUUAUUACAACAUAUUUAUGGUCGCGAGGCCAUGUUAUUUAUUUCUAUAAUUACUGGAUUUUGCAAGUU